UUCCAGAAAAUGGGAAUAAAGCUAAUACUGUGCCAAUAUUUAAAAAGUGUAAAAGAGGUGACCCAGCUAAUUACAGGAGUGUUAGUCUGACAUCGAUACUGGGCAAGAGAAUGGAGCAGUGAAUAUGGAUUUAAUUAAUAAAGAAUUAAAGGAGGAUAAUAUAAUUAGUGCCUAUUAACAAAGGUUCAGAGAUAAUAGAGCCUAUCAAACUAACUGGAUAUCCUUAUUGGAUGAGAUCAAAAGUUUGGCUGCAACUAAUAGUAUUGAUGUAACAUACCUAGACUUCUGUAAGGCAUAUGACCUGGUUCGGCACAACAUUUUGACUAGAAAACUAGAAAGAUACAAAACACACACGGCAUACAUUAAAUAGAUUGAAAACUGUGAUUGUAAAUGGGAAGCCGUGAUCGAGUGGAUUUCUUUCCAGGAGGUUCGCACAAGGAUUGGUUCUUGGCCCUGUGCUAUUUAACAUUCUUAUUAAUGACCUAGAAGAAAAUAUAAAGUCAUCACUGAUAAAGUUUGCAGUUGCCACAAAGAUUGGGGGUGGUAGUAACUAAUGAAGUGUCAGUAGAUUCUGGCUCCAGCAUUGGGAGCCUGGGAAGUUUUCCCAGCCCUGGCUGGGGGGUUAUUGCCUCUUCCACAAAGAGGGGAAGUUCCGUUCCCAACCCCUGUGGCUUGAAAUUAGGCCCCAUCUGACACUACACCCCACAUUCAGCAUAGUGGUAGGAUUAUAUUAUCAUUAGGACAUAAUGAUGAGGCAUUUUGUGCAAGAUGUGUCAUGUGCGAUGUCACCGGAAAAGUUAUGAUUUGCUGACUAUGAUUAUCCUACCUGUGUGCAUGGAUCAUGUUUGUAUCUGAAGUUAUGGAUAUUGACUCUGUAUCUGUAUUUCACAUGUGCUUACUCUGGGUUACACCCACAACAAGCCUUUCAGGCACAACAGUGAAGAAGCCAGACAGUGCUGAAGGCUCAUCAACCAAGACAAUGGACCAUGGAAGAGCUUAGCCCCCCUGUGAAUUUGUCAGCCAGCCUAGGAGUCAUGGCUACUAUGACUCAGCAGGGCAUGUGACCAGACCACAUGACAAUGAACUUCAUUUUGGUACCUGUAUUUUUCCACUAACUGAACUGGGAACUGAGUUUGGAACAAAGGGUUCCCGCCAUAUGGAAAAGCUACGUAAGGUGGGGUGCGACAUCAUCUCUUGGCCUCAUUCCCCACACAAGGGAACUCCUGGAAGCACCUGAGGUACAAAAACUGAAGUGGGGGAAGUGUUUGUUCCAGGCUAAAGGGAUUUCUAGCUUGUGUAUGGAAACUUGGGGGACUGCUUCUAUCGUCAAUCAGGUUAUUACAAGACUGGCUACAAGUGUUGUCUUUCUUGUGAGUUCUAAGAUUCAGCUGACCUAAGGAAGUGACUGGUCCUUUGGUACUGGCAGUAACCUGAACAUCGCUGUGAUUUGUAGGUCUGCCUGAGGCUCCUGCUCGUGCUCUCGAGUCACUGGGAACAGCGUUACAGAGACUUACAGGCACAACAGCAGCAACUGGCAGCAAUGCAGAGCAGGCUUUACAGGGACACAGUGUGGGCCAAAUGGUCCCUGGAUUCAGUCAAGCCCCAGUUCUCCUCCAGCACAUGUCAGCAUCCCGGCAACCUUCAAGGGGGUUCAAGGCUGCCACCCCUUCAGUGAUGGAUCUGCAGCAGAUCAUCUCCCGCGCCCCAUGACCCACCUUGUCUCCUCAGACAGAGGUGAGUGACAGAGGGGGCAGGACGGAUCCAGGAGGUAGGGAAAGGGAUAACAAAACACACCUUCUGGGGUCACCCGUCAGGAAGUGAAGGUGACAGACACUGUGGUGGCAGUAAAGGGGGAGGGGAGGGAGUGGGAGCAGCACCCUGAAGGGCAAUGCUGCCAGUGGGUCUCCCCACCACAUCAGGCAUGGGGCUGAUAGGGGGCCAUUCCCUGGGCCUGGGUGCCUGUGAAGGGCUAUUUAAACCCCACGCUGGUACAGAAGGAGUUAAACUGCUGCUUUAGUCUGGACUGGCCCAGCCUCUCCACACCUGCAAACCAUGUCAGGACUGGAGCAGGAGUUAACAGGAGAGACCUACUCUACUCUGGGGGGUGGGAAGGGAACAGUCUGUGGAGCAUCUCCAGCCCCAAGGAGAGGGCUGGCAGCAUUCGGGGCUCUGGCCUUCACUGAGAGAGGGUGGGGAUCCCUGGAGCUCAAAGGGGGAGCAGGUUAAAACUUGCACUGGGGACCCAGUAAGCUAUGAAGGGGACUGAGACACUCCCAGGGCUCUCAGAAGUAAGAAGGGCCCAUAUCCUGAUGGGAGCUGUUCACAGUUCUUUCCCCAUUUCUUUCUUUCAUUCCUUUAUUUAGCCUUGUGUGCCGACAGUCAGCUCUUUUGCUGUUUCACCUGGUGCCCCGAGAGAGGAAGAAAGUGCCCCGAGGCCUCAGCCAGGGGGUUGAGCCUGACACACUAGAAGGAUGUGCCCGUAGCACCCCAGGGGCAGGGGCCAAUGGGACUCACAGAGCUGCACCCCAGAAGGCCUAAGGCCCAGCGGUUUGGCACCAGUUUGAUGGGCUGGAUGGCCUCUCCCUGGGGGCUGCCAGCAGCCUGGCACAUGGAGUAGUUACGGGUGGCUUGGGGAGCAGGAAGCAGGGCAGUGUCCCAGACAGCACACCAAGAAGGGUAAUAGAGAGGGGACGAGGGGCACUGCAGUGAACUCAGCACCUGUCCUGAAGGCCAUUUGCAGAAAUUCGUCCUCUCCCUGGCCUAUGGGGAUUAGGCAGUGACACAAACGGUCACUUGGUCUUU
Long non-coding RNA from Gopherus evgoodei (Goodes thornscrub tortoise), 2802 nucleotides. RefSeq lists it as uncharacterized. The transcript has 3 exons. The record is from RefSeq and is a predicted model, not a curated record. Lineage: Eukaryota; Metazoa; Chordata; Testudines; Testudinidae.